UACGAAGGGGGCUAGCGUUGCUCGGAAUUACUGGGCGUAAAGGGCGCGUAGGCGGACAGUUUAGUCAGAGGUGAAAGCCCAGGGCUCAACCUUGGAAUUGCCUUCGAUACUGGCUGUCUUGAGUUCGGGAGAGGUGAGUGGAAUGCCGAGUGUAGAGGUGAAAUUCGUAGAUAUUCGGCGGAACACCAGUGGCGAAGGCGACUCACUGGCCCGAUACUGACGCUGAGGCGCGAAAGCGUGGGGAGCAAACAGG
RNAcentral lists this ribosomal RNA (253 nucleotides) under uncultured bacterium. Its description in RNAcentral is "partial 16S ribosomal RNA". It matches the Rfam family "Bacterial small subunit ribosomal RNA", at positions 524 to 776 of the family's 1533-position model. The record is from RNAcentral.